This 1650-nucleotide long non-coding RNA is filed under the name Marmota monax (woodchuck). The record is from RNAcentral. Lineage: Eukaryota; Metazoa; Chordata; Mammalia; Rodentia; Sciuridae.
CUAAAUUCAAGUGGAAAAAUAUUCAGUUCUUAAUAACCAGGUGCCGAGGAGACCAGAUUCAAGUAAUCAGAGCACGCGCUGUUCAGUUCGGUUUCACGUUCUGCGUUUUUUUUGUCUCAAAACCUCUCUAUACAUCUCUAUAUAUCUAUAUAUGUAUAUACAUAUAGAUAUAUACACACAUAUGUGCAUACAUAUUAUUUUAUAUUUAUAUAUAUACACAUACAUAGUUAUAAAACAUUAAAAAGAGCAUUGGUGGAUCAAGCAUCAUUUUCCCCACAGAAAGAAAAUAAAACAAAAAUUACACAUUAAAAUUCAAAAUGAGCUAGCAAUGGCUUAUAGUCCUAGUGUGCAAUAUGAAGGUUACAAAAGGCUAGACUUCGCACUGUCGGCAUCUUCGUUUUUCUUUUCUUUUUUUUUUAAAUUUUUUGUUUGAUUUUGCUACAUUGAAAAAUGUUUUUUUGUUUUUGUUUUUGUUUUUUUCCUUUACAAAACUCCUUAGACAGAGUCCUGUGGUAGGUCAGAGCCUGGGCAAAUGCUCAGCAGCAGCACGUGGUGCCCACAGGAUUCAGGAGGCUCUGGUAGGGGCUGUUUAGAAAUCAAUUGACUUCCUGUUGAAUCGGGUGCACUGACUGCUCCUCCCUCCCUGCUCCCUCUCCAGCUCAGGGGGUCCUGGCUUUCUAGCUGUGGGCAGCUGAGAGGAGACACACACACACACACACACACACACACACAGGAAAAAGAAAACCACUGCCCUUGAAGCCCUUUGGGGUGGGGGCUUCAGGGAGAUAAGACUCUACCCCACCCCUCUAAUGCCUGCUGGGCCUGGGCCCUGAAGUGCAGAAGAGGGACAGAGGCUGGAGGGCAGCCUGCCCCGUCUGGGGACUGCAGCAGCCAGGUCAGGUGUGUGCCUGCCAUUAGCCCUGCACUGGGCUGACAGCCUCAGAACCUCCAGGAGGCGGGGUUUGAAAAAGGGGCUGAAUCUGGGUGGGUUGCACCAGCCUAGAAGCAUCCCGAGCAAAAUAAGAAGACAAACUGGGACAACAAGCAAGAAGCCCUGCAAAGCCACACGCAUAACCAACAGAGGAAAACUCCAAUGUUAAAUUAACUACAAACUCGUGUCAACAGUAAUAGUCCAUUUUUCUUGUCUCUACAAAAUUCAAGUUAAAAGUUGGAAUCACGCAGCUCUCAUCAGUGCUAGUGUGAAGACGGACAGCCUCAAACUGCUAAGGCCUCUAAAAUCAAAGCUAAACAUCCCACGGGAGAAGUCGCACCCCCUUCUCCAAGCUCAGGCUGGUCCGCGGGGUGUGGCACUCAGCCGCCCGCUUUUGCUUGUCUUUUUUUUUUUUCCUUUGCUCUACGUAGAAUAAUAACCUUUACAGGAAAAAUACUGUACAACUUCUUGUAUUUUUUUCCAUUUUGAAUAUUAAAGCCCAAAACAGCCGCAUCCUUCCUGUUUGCACCACCAGGGUGUCAGCCGCCCGCUUUUGCUUGUCUUUUUUUUUUUUCCUUUGCUCUACGUAGAAUAAUAACCUUUACAGGAAAAAUACUGUACAACUUCUUGUAUUUUUUUCCAUUUUGAAUAUUAAAGCCCAAAACAGCCGCAUCCUUCCUGUUUGCACCACCAGGGUGGCUGAUACCCCAGUCCCCAAG